CUUUUGUGUGUGACUAAUUCCUUGA
RNAcentral lists this non-coding RNA (25 nucleotides) under Rattus norvegicus (Norway rat). Lineage: Eukaryota; Metazoa; Chordata; Mammalia; Rodentia; Muridae. The record is from RNAcentral.